GGAGGGCAAGUCUGGUGCCAGCAGCCGCGGUAAUUCCAGCUCCAAUAGCGUAUAUUAAAGUUGUUGUGGUUAAAAAGCUCGUAGUUGAACCUUGGGCCUGGCUGGCCGGUCCGCCUCACCGCGUGUACUGGUCCGGCCGGGCCUUUCCCUCUGUGGAACCCCAUGCCCUUCACUGGGUGUGGCGGGGAAACAGGACUUUUACUGUGAAAAAAUUAGAGUGCUCCAGGCAGGCCUAUGCUCGAAUACAUUAGCAUGGAAUAAUAGAAUAGGACGUGUGGUUCUAUUUUGUUGGUUUCUAGGACCGCCGUAAUGAUUAAUAGGGACAGUCGGGGGCAUCAGUAUUCAAUUGUCAGAGGUGAAAUUCUUGGAUCUAUUGAAGACUAACUACUGCGAAAGCAUUUGCCAAGGAUGUUUUCAUUAAUCAGGAACGAAAGUUAGGGGAUCGAAGACGAUCAGAUACCGUCGUAGUCUUAACCAUAAACUAUGCCGACUAGGGAUCGGACGAUGUUACUUAUUGACUCGUUCGGCGCCUUACGGGAAAC
This 542-nucleotide ribosomal RNA is filed under the name uncultured Ascomycota. RNAcentral describes it as "SSU rRNA". It matches the Rfam family "Eukaryotic small subunit ribosomal RNA", at positions 550 to 1098 of the family's 1831-position model. Lineage: Eukaryota; Fungi; Ascomycota. The record is from RNAcentral.